RNAcentral lists this ribosomal RNA (491 nucleotides) under uncultured bacterium. Its description in RNAcentral is "partial 16S ribosomal RNA". It matches the Rfam family "Bacterial small subunit ribosomal RNA", at positions 29 to 507 of the family's 1533-position model. The record is from RNAcentral.
AGUGAACGCUGGCGGUAGGCCUAACACAUGCAAGUCGAACGGCAGCACAGUAAGAGCUUGCUCUUACGGGUGGCGAGUGGCGGACGGGUGAGGAAUACAUCGGAAUCUACUUUUUCGUGGGGGAUAACGUAGGGAAACUUACGCUAAUACCGCAUACGACCUACGGGUGAAAGCAGGGGAUCUUCGGACCCUGCGCGAUUGAAUGAGCCGAUGUCGGAUUAGCUAGUUGGCGGGGUAAAGGCCCACCAAGGCGACGAUCCGUAGCUGGUCUGAGAGGAUGAUCAGCCACACUGGAACUGAGACACGGUCCAGACUCCUACGGGAGGCAGCAGCGGGGAAUAUUGGACAAUGGGCGCAAGCCUGAUCCAGCCAUACCGCGUGGGUGAAGAAGGCCUUCGGGUGUAAAGCCCUUUUGUUGGGAAAGAAAAGCAGCAGGUUAAUACCCCGCUGUUCUGACGGUACCCAAAGAAUAAGCACCGGCUAACUUCGUG